RNAcentral lists this non-coding RNA (31 nucleotides) under Homo sapiens (human). The record is from RNAcentral. Lineage: Eukaryota; Metazoa; Chordata; Mammalia; Primates; Hominidae.
UAGAAUUGCAGCUCUACAUUUUGUGGAGGUU